GACGAACGCUGGCGGCGUGCUUAACACAUGCAAGUCGAACGGUGAAGCGCCUUCCUUUUUGGUGGGUGUGGAUGAGUGGCGAACGGGUGAGUAACACGUGAGUAACCUGCCCCCUUCUUCUGGAUAACCGCAUGAAAGUGUGGCUAAUACGGGAUAUUCUGGGUCUGUCGCAUGAUGGGUCUGGGAAAGAUAUUGUUUCGGUGGGGGAUGGGCUCGCGGCCUAGCAGCUUGUUGGUGGGGUGGUGGCCUACCAAGGCGGUGACGGGUAGCCGGCCUGAGAGGGUGGACGGUCACACUGGGACUGAGACACGGCCCAGACUCCUACGGGAGGCAGCAGUGGGGAAUAUUGCACAAUGGGCGCAAGCCUGAUGCAGCGACGCCGCGUGAGGGAUGGAGGCCUUCGGGUUGUGAACCUCUUUCGCCAGUGAGGCAGGCCUGCCUCGUUUGUGGGUGGGUUGACGGUAGCUGGAUAAGAAGCGCCGGCUAACUACGUG
This 494-nucleotide ribosomal RNA is filed under the name uncultured bacterium. RNAcentral's name for it is "partial 16S ribosomal RNA". It matches the Rfam family "Bacterial small subunit ribosomal RNA", at positions 28 to 507 of the family's 1533-position model. The record is from RNAcentral.